Molecule: ribosomal RNA, 771 nt
Filed under: Phonognatha graeffei
Lineage: Eukaryota; Metazoa; Arthropoda; Arachnida; Araneae; Araneidae
Description: eukaryotic LSU rRNA
Rfam family: Eukaryotic large subunit ribosomal RNA
Source: RNAcentral
UGAGUAACUUCGAGGAGUUGCGCGAUGCCAGUCCCGAAUCACACAUUCAUUUGGGGGCGCGUAAUUGGCGUUGUUUGGGAGUUGGCGCGUCGGGAAUUGACUCUGCGGCAAGUCCCCCUGACCGGGGCUGUUAGCCAGAGUGGGUGCGAGGCCCAUAGGUGCUAGGUCUCCUCCGGAUGCGAUCUCCUUGGAGUCGGGGUGCUUGGGAGUGCAGCCCUAAUCGGGUGGUAAACUCCACCUAAGGCUAAAUACGGCCGUGAGACCGAUAGCAAACAAGUACCGUGAGGGAAAGUUGCAAAGAACUUUGAAGAGAGAGUUCAAGAGUACGUGAAACUGCUCAGAGGCAAACGGGUGGGCCCUCGAAAUCCUGUGGCGGGAGGAUUCAGUCGGGAGGCGCGGACGUCGGGUCGGAAUAACACAAGAAUGGAUUCCCUGACGGGACCGUUUCGACUCGGCGGCUUCGUGUCACCCGACGCAUUUGUUUCCCGUCCGAAGGACGCCGCAACCGGUUGGGGAACGGCCUUAAGGGCGAGUGCUGGCAGGUGGCCGGUGACCAUCCCUCGUGGCGGUCGCCGGUUGUUAGCCGACUCGUCGCACGGCACGUGACCCGACCGUGGUGUCGCAAGGCCCCUCGCGGGCUCUUUCGCCUCCUCCGUUUCACGGACGCGGGCUGACGCGGCAGGAGCUUCUUCCGCUCUGCGGACGCACAGACUCACUCUGUGGUCCUGCGGACGGCGGACUCUGUUGGCUGCGACUGAUCCCGUCUCGGAG